AUUUGAUUUUUAAAAUUGCUCUUCUUUGCUGCAGAAUAAAAUACUUUCCAAAUACGACGAUAAUUUCCCAGUUGCCUUAAAUCCCGGCCACGUAAAUUCCUCUGAGCUCCAUCAAUGCUUAAACCCAAAAAUAUUUUCACAAACAUAGAAAAAAUGCCUGCCAUGGCUUUGUCUAUGCCACAAAACUCGAAAAAAUAGAGCGCGGAGCAUAUGAAAAAAAUUGGCGCUGACACUGACAAGUCGUGUGAAGCACACCUGCAAGAGUCAAGCGCCAAGCGGCAAGCGACGGAUUUCAAGAUUUCGAGAGACCGCAAUCCGAAAACCAUAUCGGUGAAGGCGGGGAACGCAGGUGGGGGAAUUGCGGCUUGAGGCAUGGCAUUGCAUUCGGGACACCGAAACAUGUUGCAAAAUGCAGCUCAGCUGUGCGUCGUGGCCUUAAAACUGGUGCAACACACAUUGGCCUCCUCCUCCGCCGACUCGAACAAAAAAAAUCCCCCGACAUGUGUACCUCCUGCCCUGAAACCUGGCAGAGCGCCAAACUAGCCGACUUGAAGUAGCAAAAGGGGUCUUCGCCAUCCGCUGGGUAUCCAAUAGAAAAAUGAAACUAAGUAACAGUUGGUCUAUGGAAUUGUAAAAUACCCUUUAAAUGCUUUUAAAUGAUU
This is a non-coding RNA of Drosophila melanogaster (fruit fly), 662 nucleotides long. NCBI's taxonomy places the organism in Eukaryota, Metazoa, Arthropoda, Insecta, Diptera, Drosophilidae. The record is from Ensembl.